GAUGAACGCUGGCGGCGUGCCUAAUACAUGCAAGUCGAGCGAACGGAUGAGAAGCUUGCUUCUCCGAUGUUAGCGGCGGACGGGUGAGUAACACGUGGAUAACCUACCUAUAAGACUGGGAUAACUUCGGGAAACCGGAGCUAAUACCGGAUAAUAUUUUGAACCGCAUGGUUCAAAAGUGAAAGACGGUCUUGCUGUCACUUAUAGAUGGAUCCGCGCUGCAUUAGCUAGUUGGUAAGGUAACGGCUUACCAAGGCAACGAUGCAUAGCCGACCUGAGAGGGUGAUCGGCCACACUGGAACUGAGACACGGUCCAGACUCCUACGGGAGGCAGCAGUAGGGAAUCUUCCGCAAUGGGCGAAAGCCUGACGGAGCAACGCCGCGUGAGUGAUGAUGGUCUUCGGAUCGUAAAACUCUGUUAUUAGGGAAGAACAUAUGUGUAAGUAACUGUGCACAUCUUGACGGUACCUAAUCAGAAAGCCACGGCUAACUACGUG
RNAcentral lists this ribosomal RNA (497 nucleotides) under uncultured bacterium. RNAcentral describes it as "partial 16S ribosomal RNA". It matches the Rfam family "Bacterial small subunit ribosomal RNA", at positions 28 to 507 of the family's 1533-position model. The record is from RNAcentral.